GAUGAACGCUGGCGGCGUGCCUAAUACAUGCAAGUCGAGCGAACGGACGAGAAGCUUGCUUCUCUGAUGUUAGCGGCGGACGGGUGAGUAACACGUGGAUAACCUACCUAUAAGACUGGGAUAACUUCGGGAAACCGGAGCUAAUACCGGAUGAUAUUUUGAACCGCAUGGUUCAAAAGUGAAAGACGGUCUUGCUGUCACUUAUAGAUGGAUCCGCGCUGCAUUAGCUAGUUGGUAAGGUAACGGCUUACCAAGGCAACGAUGCCUAGCCGACCUGAGAGGGUGGUCGACCACACUGGAACUGAUACGCGGUCCAGACUCCUACGGGAGGCAGCAGUAGGGAAUCAUCCUCAAUGGGCGGAGGCCUGACGGAGCAACGCCGCGUGAGUGAUGAAGGUCUUCGGAUCGUAAAACUCUGUUAUUAGGGAAGAACAUAUGUGUAAGUAACUGUGCACAGCUUGACGGUACCUAAACAGAAAGCCACGGCUAACUACGUG
This 497-nucleotide ribosomal RNA is filed under the name uncultured bacterium. Its description in RNAcentral is "partial 16S ribosomal RNA". It matches the Rfam family "Bacterial small subunit ribosomal RNA", at positions 28 to 507 of the family's 1533-position model. The record is from RNAcentral.